RNAcentral lists this transfer RNA (66 nucleotides) under Acropora cervicornis. RNAcentral describes it as "tRNA-Phe". It matches the Rfam family "tRNA". From Rfam's summary of the family: Transfer RNA (tRNA) molecules are approximately 80 nucleotides in length. Their secondary structure includes four short double-helical elements and three loops (D, anti-codon, and T loops). Further hydrogen bonds mediate the characteristic L-shaped molecular structure. tRNAs have two regions of fundamental functional importance: the anti-codon, which is responsible for specific mRNA codon recognition, and the 3' end, to which the tRNAs corresponding amino acid is attached (by aminoacyl-tRNA synthetases). tRNAs cope with the degeneracy of the genetic code in two manners: having more than one tRNA (with a specific anti-codon) for a particular amino acid; and 'wobble' base-pairing, i.e. permitting non-standard base-pairing at the 3rd anti-codon position. The record is from RNAcentral. Lineage: Eukaryota; Metazoa; Cnidaria; Anthozoa; Scleractinia; Acroporidae.
CCUUCGAUAGCUCAGUUGGUGGAGCGGAGGACUGAAGAUCUUUAGGUUCGAAUUCAACUCGAUGGA